CAGCGACUGGUACUAGUAUUUAUUUGUGUACUCAAGUAAUUCAGUUUUGCCGUUCAAUUGACUGCCUUUCGGGGGUGCUGUUGUGCGUUCCCUCGUCUUUCAGGCAAGAUGCAUAAAUUGUUGGGCCCCCACUUGAGGAGGACUCUGCGCUGUCUCUCAUUAGUCUCCAGUUGUUUGGACUCAGCACAUUUGUAACAAUAUUUGGGAACUAAUUUUAGAUGCAGCGCGACGCAGGCGAAUUGACAGCACGCAUAUUUCAGGGCAGAUUUUUGACGUGCGCCCGUGAUUUGUCAUUGACAUCAUUAUGGACCGCGGGCGCGCAUCUCCCUCGCAGACAAACGGGCUGCAACACUUCAGAGGAGGCGUCGCAACGGAUCGGAUCGGAUCGGAGUCUGGUACUUCAUCUGUGCCGCUUGGGUACACAAAAAGAUGGAACUACAUUUGGUAUAGAGGGGUGGAACAGCCCGGAGAGAAUACUCCGAUCGGUCGGUGGCUGUGGCAGUUGGUUCGUCAUGCGCCAUGCGUCGCCACAUUUUCUAAUUGAUUUUCAAAUGUUUCAGUUUGUAUAAAUAAUUGCGUUUUUGACAUUCC
Molecule: long non-coding RNA, 591 nt
Filed under: Drosophila guanche
Lineage: Eukaryota; Metazoa; Arthropoda; Insecta; Diptera; Drosophilidae
Source: RNAcentral